UACGUAGGUGGCAAGCCUUGUCCGGAUUUACUGGGCGUAAAGAGCGCGCAGGCGGUCGUUCAAGUCGCGUGUGAAAGCCCCCGGCUCAACUGGGGAGGGUCACGCGAUACUGAUCGACUCGAAGGCAGGAGAGGGAAGUGGAAUUCCCGGUGUAGUGGUGAAAUGCGUAGAUAUCGGGAGGAACACCAGUGGCGAAGGCGACUUCCUGGCCUGUUCUUGACGCUGAGGCGCGAAAGCUAGGGGAGCAAACGGG
RNAcentral lists this ribosomal RNA (253 nucleotides) under uncultured bacterium. Its description in RNAcentral is "partial 16S ribosomal RNA". It matches the Rfam family "Bacterial small subunit ribosomal RNA", at positions 524 to 776 of the family's 1533-position model. The record is from RNAcentral.